Molecule: ribosomal RNA, 292 nt
Filed under: uncultured bacterium
Lineage: Bacteria
Description: partial 16S ribosomal RNA
Source: RNAcentral
GGACUACCCGGGUAUCUAAUCCCGUUUGCUCCCCUGGCUUUCGCAUCUCAGUGUCAGUAUCGGACCAGAAAGCCGCCUUCGCCACCGGUGUUCCUCCCAAUAUCUACGCAUUUCACCGCUACACUGGGAAUUCCGCUUUCCUCUUCCGCACUCGAGUCUUGCAGUUUCAAAGGCAAUGACCUGGUUAAGCCGGGCCAUUUCACCUUUGACUUACAAGACCACCUACAUGCCCUUUACACCCAAUAAAUCCGGACAACGUUUGCCACCUCUGUAUUACCGCGGCGGCUGGCAC